RNAcentral lists this ribosomal RNA (834 nucleotides) under Heteroteuthis hawaiiensis. RNAcentral describes it as "eukaryotic LSU rRNA". The stretch from base 472 to 834 matches the Rfam family "Eukaryotic large subunit ribosomal RNA", at positions 675 to 1112 of the family's 3401-position model. Lineage: Eukaryota; Metazoa; Mollusca; Cephalopoda; Sepiida; Sepiolidae. The record is from RNAcentral.
CCGAGGAGUCCUGGCCGUUCGCGAGUCGUAGGGGCCCCCUCUGACUAACCCCGAAGGCGUAGCGAAAGCGAGAGAGCGUGUUGGAGGGCGUCGACCGGGAGAGGUGUCGUGGCGAAGUCGUGCAGGGGUCGUCGGGGGAAAAGCGGCUUCGGUCGUUUCUUUUCUCGCCUCACCUGCCCUCCGAGCCGUGCCCGAUCCCGCCGGCGCGGUGUCUUGUCUUCUGCGUCGCCCUCUCGUCGCGCAUGUUGCCCGGCAACGGGCGACGACGCGCGGCGACGACGUGCGUGGUUGUUUCCCUCCUGCCCGAGAGGGCAUCGGUUCCAUGGGAAUUGCGGGGCAUCAGCUUCUAUCCUCCUACCGCCCAUCGGUGAGAUCCCGCGGCUUGAACUAGUCCUAUUUUGUCGUCGAGUUUAGGCACUGCACGCGGGCGCAUCACCCCCGGGUCGGCGGUGAAAACCAUUCCGAGUACGACUCGGCCGACUCUGGCGUAGCGAGCGGCCAGGGACCCGAAAGAUGGCGAUCCACGCCCGGUCGGGAUGAAGCCAGAGGAAACUCUGGUGGAAGUCCGAAGCGCCUCUGACGUGCAAAUCGAUCGUCGGAACCGGGUGUAGGGGCGAAAGACCAAUCGAGCCGUCUAGUAGCUGGUUCCCUCCGAAGUUUCCCUCAGGAUAGCUGGCGCUCGAUCGUCGCAAUUCCAUCCGGUAAAGCGAACGAUUGGAGGCCCCGGGGCCGUUCACGGCCUCGACCUACUCUCGAACUCGGAACGGGUGGAACGGGCCGACUCUCCAGAACAACGGAGCCGACCCACAUUUUCCCGUCGCGCAGCUCGCGUGA